GAUGAACGCUGGCGGCGUGCCUAAUACAUGCAAGUCGAGCGAACGGACGAGAAGCUUGCUUCUCUGAUGUUAGCGGCGGACGGGUGAGUAACACGUGGAUAACCUACCUAUAAGACUGGGAUAACUUCGGGAAACCGGAGCUAAUACCGGAUAAUAUUUUGAACCGAAUGGUUCAAAAGUAAAAGACGGUUUUGCUGUCACUUAUAGAUGGAUCCGCGCUGCAUUAGCUAGUUGGUAAGGUAACGGCUUACCGAGGCAACGAUGCGUAGCCGACCUGAGAGGGUGAUCGGCCACACUGGAACUGAGACACGGUCCAGACUCCUACGGGAGGCAGCAGUAGGGAAUCUUCCGCAAUGGGCGAAAGCCUGACGGAGCAACGCCGCGUGAGUGAUGAAGGUCUUCGGAUCGUAAAACUCUGUUAUUAGGGAAGAACAUAUGUGUAAGUAACUGUGCACAUCUUGACGGUACCUAAUCAGAAAGCCACGGCUAACUACGUG
This 497-nucleotide ribosomal RNA is filed under the name uncultured bacterium. Its description in RNAcentral is "partial 16S ribosomal RNA". It matches the Rfam family "Bacterial small subunit ribosomal RNA", at positions 28 to 507 of the family's 1533-position model. The record is from RNAcentral.